Molecule: ribosomal RNA, 497 nt
Filed under: uncultured bacterium
Lineage: Bacteria
Description: partial 16S ribosomal RNA
Rfam family: Bacterial small subunit ribosomal RNA
Source: RNAcentral
GAUGAACGCUGGCGGCGUGCCUAAUACAUGCAAGUCGAGCGAAUAGAGGAGGAGCUUGCUUCUCUGACGUUAGCGGCGGACGGGUGAGUAAUACGUGGAUAACUUACAUAUAGGACUGGGAUAACUUCGGGAAAGCGGAUCUAGUAUCGGAUAAUAUAUUGAACGGCAUGGUUCAAUAGUGAAAGAGGUAUUUGCUGUCACUUGUAGAUAUAUGCUGGCUGCAUUAGCUAGUUGGUAAGGUAACGGCUUACCAAGGCAACGAUGCGUAGCUGACCUGAGAGGGUGAUCAGCCACACUGGAACUGAGACACGGUCCAGACUCCUACGGGAGGCAGCAGUAGGGAAUCUUCCGCAAUGGGCGAAAGCCUGACCGAGCAACGCCGCGUGAGUGAUGAAGGUCUUCGGAUCGUAAAACUCUGUUAUUAGGGAAGAACAAAUGUGUAAGUAACUAUGCACGUCUUGACGGUACCUAAUCAGAAAGCCACGGCUAACUACGUG